GGCGAGGCGGCGAUGGUGUAAGGCGAUGGACUGCUAAUCCAUUGUUCUUUACGGGGCGUGGGUUCGAAUCCCAUCCUCGUCG
RNAcentral lists this transfer RNA (82 nucleotides) under Perca fluviatilis (European perch). It matches the Rfam family "tRNA". Rfam says of the family: Transfer RNA (tRNA) molecules are approximately 80 nucleotides in length. Their secondary structure includes four short double-helical elements and three loops (D, anti-codon, and T loops). Lineage: Eukaryota; Metazoa; Chordata; Actinopteri; Perciformes; Percidae. The record is from Rfam by way of RNAcentral.